UGCACUCCAGCCUAGGUGACAGAGUAAGACCCUGCCUCAAAAAAUUAAUUAAUUAAUUAAAUAAAAUAAGAAAUCUAUUCUGGAAAUCAGUCAUCAAACACCACAAUUUUGGGAAUAUAGUUUGGACGACCACUUCCUUUUCUGGAAACCAUUUUUAGAAUAAGAAAAUGAGCCAGAAUACACCUUGCCAAAUAAGUUUCCCCAAAUCACAAUUAUGAUUUGGGGAAUGAACACAAGAAUGAACAAAUUAAGUCAUAAAUGUAUGCAAUCAUUUUUGAAUGUCUUUGCAGAGAAAUAUUCAAAGUGGUAAGAUGGAUUGAACUGCCAACCAAAAUUGUCAAUCUUUAUUUCAGUCUUCACUAUUAAGCUAAAAAGGUAAUUUUUCUCUUGAAUGAUGUGAAGAAUUGAAUUUCUUUCAACUGUUCCAAAAAUCUAUUUGCGGAAAUAUUUUUAUGCUCCAGCAUGUCUUAAGAGUUUAACAUUUUUGGAUGCUGAGUUAUAACAGAUUCCUGCCUGCCACCCUGUGGGGCAGGCAAGAUGAUAUUAUACAUCUCUUAUAAAACAAAGAUACAGACUCAGAAUGGCUAAUAGGAUAUUGCUGAGGCCUGCCAGGUAUCUUUUGGUGAAUAGAUACUCUUUAUCUUAAGGUAUCUUUUGGUGAAUAGAUACUCUUUAUCUUAAGAUUUGUUGUGGUUAUUCUUGGUCUGCUGCCCAUCUAUAAAAAAUUUAGAAUCCAUCGGUAAAGUUGCACAACAAAUUCUGUUAGGAUUUUGUUGGAAUUACACUGAACCUACAGAUCGGUUUGGGAAUAACUGACAUCUUUACAAUACUGAGUCUUCCCAUCCAAGGAAACAGUAUAUUAUAUUCCAUCUAAUUAUGUCAUUUGGAAUUGUCUUCCAAUAAAUUUUUAUGGCUUUUCUGCA
This 923-nucleotide long non-coding RNA is filed under the name Homo sapiens (human). Its description in RNAcentral is "HSALNT0342054". The record is from RNAcentral. Lineage: Eukaryota; Metazoa; Chordata; Mammalia; Primates; Hominidae.